CAAUCUGCGAUAAAAAUAAAACCGCUUGGAUACCCGUGUAUGCGACCAAUGGAAUCUCUCUGAAACAUUGUAGCGAUCCCAGCCAUACCUUUCGGAGGCCUCUACGGAGUUCUGGUGACCUUGACCCUGUUAUUCAAAGGUUCAAGGUCAGAUAAUCCGUGUGUGGACCUGGACCCCAAUGGAUGCAAAGCCAACCCCCAUCUAUGUCAAGAUCCUCUUCUCGCUGAAGUCACAUGUCCUGUCACGUGCCGUACCGGAUGCAGCAUCAAUCCUACCUCUGCAUCUAUCUCCACCACCACCACUCCAACCCCCAUACACCCAACAUCCGAAGUGGUAGGUGGUCACUUGACGGGCCAAAUUCCAGUGGGUUCCAACCUCAUCAUAUUCAACGACUCCGACGCCUGGAACCACGGGCGAAUCACCGGCAUACGGAUGCUGUGCGGACAAUAUUUGCUCGCCAUGGCGAUCCAGUACAAUGGGGUGUGGGCACAAAGGCAUGGAUUCUGGGCCGGCAACUGUGCGACCAACCAAACAUGGACGCCUAUUCACUUUUUUGAAGAGGACGAGUGGAUACAGCACGCAGAGUUGACGGGCUCGUGGUUCACAUCCAGCGUCACAUUCACCACCAACAAGCGGCGGCUGGAGACAUGCGGGAUACCCGAGGCAGUCAAGUUCCGCGAGGGUGGCAGACUGGAGUUUGUGUCUGGGAAAUUCGGAUGCUUCUUCGACCGCCUCCAGCUUCACUGGUCCUCUUAUGUUUCUUUAUAAACCAGUAAAUUUGUCCCGUGAUUAUGUAACUACCAAAGUAUACAAGUAAACACGUGAUACAUU
This is an RNA transcript of Mya arenaria, 831 nucleotides long. RefSeq lists it as uncharacterized. The record is from RefSeq and is a predicted model, not a curated record. NCBI's taxonomy places the organism in Eukaryota, Metazoa, Mollusca, Bivalvia, Myida, Myidae. The transcript has 3 exons.